Molecule: ribosomal RNA, 727 nt
Filed under: Betaproteobacteria (b-proteobacteria)
Lineage: Bacteria; Pseudomonadati; Pseudomonadota
Description: bacterial SSU rRNA
Rfam family: Bacterial small subunit ribosomal RNA
Source: RNAcentral
AGAGGGUGCGAGCGUUAAUCGGAUUUACUGGGCGUAAAGCGUGCGUAGGCGGCUUUUUAAGUCGGAUGUGAAAUCCCCGAGCUUAACUUGGGAAUUGCAUCAGAUACUGGGAAGCUAGAGUAUGGGAGAGGAUGGUAGAAUUCCAGGUGUAGCGGUGAAAUGCGUAGAGAUCUGGAGGAAUACCGAUGGCGAAGGCAGCCAUCUGGCCUAAUACUGACGCUGAGGUACGAAAGCAUGGGGAGCAAACAGGAUUAGAUACCCUGGUAGUCCAUGCCGUAAACGAUGUCUACUAGGCCGUUGGGCCUUUGAGGCUUUAGUGGCGCAGUAACGCGAUAAGUAGACCGGCUGGGGAGUACGGUCGCAAGACUAAAACUCAAAUGAAUUGACGGGGGCCCGCACAAGCGGUGGAGCAUGUGGUUUAAUUCGAUGCAACGCGAAGAACCUUACCUGGUCUUGACAUAGUAAGAACUUUCCAGAGAUGGAUUGGUGCCUUCGGGAACUUACAUACAGGUGCUGCAUGGCUGUCGUCAGCUCGUGUCGUGAGAUGUUGGGUUAAGUCCCGCAACGAGCGCAACCCUUUUCCUUAUUUGCCAGCACUUCGGGUGGGAACUUUAAGGAUACUGCCAGUGACAAACUGGAGGAAGGCGGGGACGACGUCAAGUCAUCAUGGCCCUUACGACCAGGGCUACACACGUGCUACAAUGGUCGGUACAAAGGGUUGCUACCU